Long non-coding RNA from Psammomys obesus (fat sand rat), 269 nucleotides. RefSeq lists it as uncharacterized. The transcript is spliced from 3 exons. The record is from RefSeq and is a predicted model, not a curated record. Lineage: Eukaryota; Metazoa; Chordata; Mammalia; Rodentia; Muridae.
AGAACUAACCUAAACAUCACCACGAGGAAGCAACGGGUAAACCCAGAAAGUGGGGCACCCUGCAAAACAUCUCUCCCAGGCUUUCACUAGACACACCCUAAGGAAGAGGCUCCACUGGAUAAAGAAAAGGGAAGGGUCCGGAGCUCGAUGAAGAAAACACCCCAAAUAGAAUGCAGACAGCAAGGAGUGUGCACUGCAAAGUGACAAAGAACCCUGAACUGAGCUCACAGGUUACUUUUACAGUUUUAACCUCCUAAGGGAGAAAACUC